This is a non-coding RNA of Schistosoma mansoni, 73 nucleotides long. The record is from Rfam. NCBI's taxonomy places the organism in Eukaryota, Metazoa, Platyhelminthes, Trematoda, Strigeidida, Schistosomatidae.
GGCUCCGUGGCCUAAUGGAUAAGGCAUCUGACUUCGGAUCAGAAGAUUGCGGGUUCGAGUCCCGUCGGGGUCG